UUCGGGGUUCACAUACUCCAAUUAAGGUUGAAGAAGACAUAGAUGACCUUGAAAAUCUAGAAAAAGAGUUGUCAAAGGUUGCAUUGGAGUCCACAAUUGGUGAAUAAGACAAACAAAGAAAGACAAAGGACUUACAGGUGAAAUAAGCAGAGAAAUUGUGCUUUGUAUUUUGCAAUGUAAGAAGCUGAAAAGUGGGAGUUUCUAAUACAAGAAGCCAUGAAAUUGUAGCUGUCACUUGUCAGCUGAUGUAUGAAGCAUUGAAGUCCUAGUUUUUUAUUUUAAUUUUUUAGAAACAAUUUAUAUUUUAUGUUUGUUUUUUAUUUUUAUU
This is a long non-coding RNA of Malania oleifera, 328 nucleotides long. RefSeq lists it as uncharacterized. NCBI's taxonomy places the organism in Eukaryota, Viridiplantae, Streptophyta, Magnoliopsida, Santalales, Ximeniaceae. The record is from RefSeq and is a predicted model, not a curated record. The transcript has 3 exons.